ACACGUAAGUUCAGUGCUUGAAAUCUUUGUCUUCAAAUUAUAUACAACCUUUGAACUCCAAAAUGUAGAAAAAAAAAAAGAAGCUUUCCUAAUAGGACUCAACAGGAAGACUGCAAAAGUCAAGGGUUUGUUAAUCGAACUUGUUGUUCUGCUGAGGUGAUCUUGAAAGGGGUGGACUAAACCAGAAUUUGAGGUCUUCAGCUGUAAUCUUUUUUUUGAAUUUCAAAAGAAAAACAUUAUGGAGGGCACUCGUGUUGGACCACCAGAGAGUAAAAGAUCUGACUUAUGACAGAAAAUGGAUAAAAUUUGGACAUGGAUAAUUUUAACAUUAUUUCUACAGAGUGACAUAAUAGAAGGAAAUGCUCCAAAUAUUGAAGUGUCACACAAUAUGCGGGUGUUGAAGCUACCCAGAGAGACAAAAGUGGGUAA
Molecule: long non-coding RNA, 429 nt
Organism: Limulus polyphemus (Atlantic horseshoe crab)
Lineage: Eukaryota; Metazoa; Arthropoda; Merostomata; Xiphosura; Limulidae
Exons: 3
Source: RefSeq, a predicted model, not a curated record